CAUUUCCGUUUACGAUAAUUGUUACAAAAUAUGUUACAUGCGUGCAGAUGUGGUAAUAUGACAUUUUUUUUCACGUGGUUUUUCAUCAUCUCGAUACUUUCAGAAAUUUACGAUUAAGAAAAUUCGUGUUUAUUUAAAGACAUAGAAAAGCGCUUCUAGGAAGAAGCUUCUUGUUUCUUCCCCGAGCUCCAAAGACCAUGGAUCGUUGAAUCAAGAAGUUUUUUCUUUGCUGUUUUUUGGGGAGCUCACAAGAAGUGUUGUUAUAGAAUGGAAAGUUCAGUUUUUUAUUCAGCUAAUCCUGCAAGCAGACUGCGUCCGCCUACCACAUUGUUACAGAGUCUCUUUGAACUAUGUGUUAUAGUAGGAAUGGAUGAAGACACAGGAUUGGUGCCUCCAAGAAGGUCACGAAAAAGUAGUGUAGCUAGCACAAGCUCAUUUGAUGAAGAAGUUGCCUUCAAUAAGGAGUUUGAAGCAUCCAUCUUGGCUGUACUUUCCGGGCAGUUUAUUUCAUUUCCACAGUCAAAAGAACAUGUAAAUGGUUACCCAUUCUACAAGCAAGAUCAUAUAGCAUGCAACACUCCUAGUAGCUUGACUCCACCAACAACAAGUGGCAAACUAAGAUUUACUAAACAUGUUGAACUACCGUUGGGGUCUGAUGUGAUAUUCAGUCUGCCUCAGUUUUGUUUGCCAGAUGGAGCAUUUGUUUAUGACAGUCAACCAGAUGAUGCUAUUUAUACAUUAGUGCUAACUGACAUUGAAGGGAGAAGGAGCUAUUGUAGCUGCCUAACUUUUUACAAACCAUACUAUGCCAUGGAGGGAAUGAAUAAUCCUGUUCGUUUCCUUUUAUCAAGUAAAGAUUUCAACAAGAGCAAUGGGAAAUCACAUAUUUGUUAUGUCCCAACAUGCUGUUGUCUCAUUUCCAAAUAUCCAUACUUUCACAUUGCAAAGGAUUGUUUAUCGAGCUUUUUACCUGUCCUUUCAACAUAUGGCAAUGAUAUGAAGGAAGCAAUGAUGAAACUUGUAUGCAAAUUAUGCCAAGUGCCAAUUCCACCAGCAGGGACGGUUACCAUAGAAUUCGAGUUGUGUAAUACGAAGCAUAUUAUUAGACCGGCCUCUGAGCCAAAAAAACGCAUCAUCAACAUGGAUUACCAUUUACCAUUUCUUUGUUUUUCUGUCGAUAACAUACUUCUGCUUCUUAGCUGUAUCUUGACACAACAGAGAAUCAUCUUUCUUGCCUCUGAUUAUUCGUUACUAACACCUAUAAUAGAGGCAUUGCUAAGUUAUAUCCAGCCGUUGAUUUGGAGUUUGACUUAUGUUCCUGUUCUUCCAAGUAAUUUGAUUGAUCUUUUGGACGCACCUGGGUCUUUCAUAAUGGGCUGUGAUAGCAAGCAUAUCUUGCAAGUAAAAAGAUUACUCGAAGCUCAAGACGAGGAAUCAGGUAUAGUAUGCGCAAAUAUUGACGACGGGGAGGUUGACUCUGGGAAGACAUUAAUUCAUCUCAUUCCUGAAUUAUACCGAGACGACUUCAAAUGCAAGAUCAAAGAUAUCAAACUAUUUUACGAUUUGGAGGAGGUGUCAAGCAUCUCUUUGCUUGACGCAAAGGAAAUGAGGAGACGACGUCGUACAUUUUACAGAGAUUGUGCGAAAAGCAUUUUGGAAGUUUGCAUGGAUCUGAUGUUGAAUUUAUUCAGUGACUUCACAUAUUUCGUCAAAGGACAAGGUUCGGACAAGAGUCAACAAGUACUCUUUGACCGUGUUGGUUUUGUUGAAUGCAAACCGGAAAAAGAUCGACAGUUUUACCGACAACUGUGCGCAAGUCAAGCUUUCAGCUUUUAUUUAUGCGAGCGCUAUGAAAAAAAUGAAGAGGACUUCUUUUCCAGUGCGAUAACAGAACAAGGCAACUUUGCUAAUCACCAUAAAAGAAGUUCGAGCUGUUUAGAAGUACGUCAUAGUAGAUCAUCAAGUAGUUUAUCGAAUGGCAAAAUCUUUUUGAACACUCAAGAGGUCUUCAAGCUGACGCCAUUUGUUGAAGAAGGAAUACAUACAGGACGUUUCUACGAGAAUUGCAUUAGAGAUUUGAAUAAUUUAAUUCAGAAAUCAGACGUUAAAGGUCCCUCUGUCGAAGCGUGCUACCUUUAUCUUCGUGGUAUGAUGUAUGUAGCGAAUGGACAAAUUUAUGAGGGUCUUGACGACUUUUUCGCAUUGUCAUCAAAAAGCGUGAGGAUUUUCCCCACCAACUCAAUCAUUGAAAUACUUAGUCCGUUUGACUUGACUUUGUGGGCAGAUUUGAAAAUAAAAGCUAUUUUCGUAAACUAGAUUUACUGAUGCGCAAGAAUAAGAAAGUUGCUGGCUCGUUUCGAGUAAGGAAGCAACUUAUCUUUGAGGGUGUACCGAGGUAUCCUGUGGGAAAGGAUGACUUUAUAGAGCGUGUGAUGUUGUGUCAGAUCACAGAUAACACUAAGACUGCAGAGAGAUUGUUCAGUGUAUUGAUAACUUACUUGGGUGGAAAAACCAUCCACCCCAACACGUUUUCAGAUCUCUACUAUACUCUAAAUCAG
This is an RNA transcript of Xenia sp. Carnegie-2017, 2558 nucleotides long. It is a transcript of the gene named DENN domain-containing protein 3-like, with no coding region annotated. Lineage: Eukaryota; Metazoa; Cnidaria; Anthozoa; Malacalcyonacea; Xeniidae. The record is from RefSeq and is a predicted model, not a curated record. The transcript has 29 exons.